UUUAAGCCAUUUUGGGAUUGUGUUCACAGAACAGCUGACCAGUUUCUGAAGCGUUCCUUAGAAAUGAGGGAGCGAGUUCUAGGACCAGAUCACCCUGACUGUGCUCAGUCUUUGAAUAAUCUGGCAGCUCUAUGCAAUGAAAAGAAACAGUAUGAUAAAGCAGAAGAACUUUAUGAAAGAGCUUUAGAUAUUCGGAGACGUGCAUUAGCUCCUGAUCACCCUUCUUUGGCAUAUACGGUGAAGCAUCUUGCCAUCUUGUAUAAGAAAAUGGGGAAACUUGACAAAGCUGUACCUUUGUAUGAAUUGGCUGUUGAAAUUCGACAGAAAUCUUUUGGCCCAAAGCACCCUAGUGUAGCUACUGCCUUGGUGAACUUAGCUGUUCUUUAUAGCCAAAUGAAAAAACACGUUGAAGCUUUGCCAUUGUAUGAAAGAGCAUUAAAGAUUUAUGAAGAUAGCCUGGGUCGGAUGCAUCCUCGAGUUGGAGAAACACUGAAAAAUUUAGCUGUGCUUAGGUAAGAAUUUUUUUCACUUUCCUUAUACAGCCUCUUUUAUUCGAAGUAGCUUUGUCUUAGAAUAGCACAAAAUAUGUAUUACUGAAUGUUUUUUUUUAGAGUGGGGAGGGGUUGUUUUUUGCUGAUUGACUUCAAGAAGUACUGAAGUAGUAUCCAGAAAUGAAAUGAAGCCUGCAUGAUCUAUUUUGCAGAGGAGCAUAUGUAUGCAUCAUGGCAAACAGUGAAGGAUGGUUUAUACUACAUCUGGCUCUGGGAGUAAUAUGGGUAAUUUGCUGUCCCCAGAGUGAAUUUGCCAUUAAGUAUAUGUUGACUUUUGUUUGCUCAUUUGUAUUUUUCUCAGGAUGCAGAGAAUACCUAACUUUGCUUAGCAAUUUCACUGCCUCUAUUACAACAUGGUUUUAAUGAUAUCCAUAUGAGACACAAAAAUACUGAUACUGGUAGAAAGGAGAAGAGUUUGGGUGUUGUUUUACUGGUCUGCUUGAGUGAAUACACUGGAAAAAGAGGGGAAAUGGGCAAAUAUUUACAGCUUCUUUUUCUGUGUCCCAUAAGGUCAUUUUGAAUUGGUAAGAGGUUAUAUUCUCAUUUUAAGAGUUUUUGUUUUCUCUCUCAAAGCUAUGAAGGAGGAGAUUUUGAAAAAGCUGCUGAAUUAUACAAAAGGGCAAUGGAAAUAAAAGAAGCAGAAACAUCACUCUUGGGUGGAAAAGCUCCUUCAAGCCAUUCAUCAAGUGGAGACACGUUUAGCUUAAAAACAGCUCAUUCUCCUAAUGUUUUCCUUCAGCAAGGACAAAGGUAAUAGCAGCAGUUAGAAUUCUUUGCAAAUGUACCUUAAGACAAAAUAAUUAAACAUUUGGAACAUUUAAAUUUGAAACUUUAAAAAAAAGUUGUACGAAAUUUUACUAUGUGUGAUUUAACUGCUAUUUGUAUGAAGUUGUAUUGGACUACAUUAAGUUGGAAUUGUGAUUAUGUCUGUUUUAGUUGUUUAAAAGAAUUUUCCUAUUAUAUGGUAUCCAAGGAUGUAGACACAUUAGAAUUAUAAGAUGACAUGAGGAGCAAAUCAUGAAGAGCGGAUUGGUCUUUGUUCAACAAGAGCUGGCAGAGUAGUCAAGACAAGGAGUUCAAAAAUUCCAUGAAUCUUGGCCAGGCAUGGUGGCUCAUGCCUGUAAUCCCACCACUUUGGGAGGGUGAUGCAGGAGGAUCACUUGAGGCCAGGAGUUCGAGACCAGCCUGGCCAACAUGGUGAAACCCUGUCUCUACUAAAAAUACAAAAAAAAAUUAGCUGGACCUGGUGGCGCAUGCCUGUAAUCCUAGCUACUCAGGAGGCUGAGGCAUGAGAAUCGCUUGAACUCAGCAAGUGGAGGUUGCUAUGAGCUGAGAUUGUGCCAGUUCAUUCCAUCCUGGGCAACAGGGUGAGACUCUGUCUC
This 1933-nucleotide small RNA is filed under the name Pan troglodytes (chimpanzee). RNAcentral's name for it is "retained intron". The record is from RNAcentral. Lineage: Eukaryota; Metazoa; Chordata; Mammalia; Primates; Hominidae.